This 205-nucleotide non-coding RNA is filed under the name Mycoplasmatota bacterium. RNAcentral's name for it is "Tenericutes bacterium T-box sequence". It matches the Rfam family "T-box leader". From Rfam's summary of the family: Uncharged tRNA acts as the effector for transcription antitermination of genes in the T-box leader family. T-boxes are found upstream of many aminoacyl-tRNA synthetase genes and some amino acid biosynthetic genes usually in Gram-positive bacteria. Lineage: Bacteria; Bacillati; Mycoplasmatota. The record is from RNAcentral.
AUAAAUACAUGGAAAUAGAAGUAGUAAAACAAUCUUGUUUUAUAGAGAGUUAACAUAAGGUGGAAGUUAAUAAACAAAUUGUUUGAAUUAGUCUAUGGAGUAGGCUUCAUGCAACACGGGAGUGAAGUUCGUUAACUGCGUUAAAGUUUUAAGAGCUGAAUUUUAUUCAGAACUAAGGUGGUACCGCGAUUAAUUCGUCCUUUUU